Molecule: non-coding RNA, 94 nt
Organism: Mycena rebaudengoi
Lineage: Eukaryota; Fungi; Basidiomycota; Agaricomycetes; Agaricales; Mycenaceae
Source: the annotation of a GenBank genome assembly
GACCUGUUGGUGCAGUGGUUAGAGCACCCAUAAUAAUUGGUGCAGAUUUCAAUGACAUAUGUGGGCAGUCCCAGUUCGACUCUGGGACAGGUCA